This 72-nucleotide transfer RNA is filed under the name Camelus bactrianus (Bactrian camel). It matches the Rfam family "tRNA". Rfam says of the family: Transfer RNA (tRNA) molecules are approximately 80 nucleotides in length. RNAcentral also lists the same sequence under 2 other names. Lineage: Eukaryota; Metazoa; Chordata; Mammalia; Artiodactyla; Camelidae. The record is from Rfam by way of RNAcentral.
GAGGGUGUAGCUCAGUGGUAGAGUGCAUGCCUAGCAUACGUGAGGUCCUUGGUUCAAUCCCCAGUACCUCCA